GCUGAGAGUGGGGGAUGCGAAACGAACUCCGUCCCCUGCCGAGUCGGUGCCUUCGGGGGCUCCAGCACCGCGCGCUCCCGCCGGCAAGUAACCAGACGAGAGGAGCAGCCUUCUAAGAGCGGAGCCCUGAAGACAUUUCCAAGCUGCCUGGACAAAGGCUUGGAGUGACUACAAUUGUGAGCCAUCCUGCCUUGCUGCCUUGGACCUGAAGCUAGAUCGAUGACCUAAUACAUCUUUUCCAGCUCUGACUGCCAUGGUUUUAUGAGCAUCGAGAACUGGGCGUCUGCCAUUGUCAACAAGCAGGGCCUCUCCAGAGCUGGAAUGUCCACGGACGCUCAGUACCCCCCAAAAAGCAUAGAUUGCCCAGUCUCCCAGGGCUCUGCGUGCUGCCUCCAGCUUUCAUGUGUGACACGGAAACUCCUCUCUGGCAGGAGUAAGUCUUAAAUAAAGGAAGUGUGUCUGUUACUGUC
Molecule: long non-coding RNA, 470 nt
Organism: Suricata suricatta (meerkat)
Lineage: Eukaryota; Metazoa; Chordata; Mammalia; Carnivora; Herpestidae
Exons: 2
Source: RefSeq, a predicted model, not a curated record